This 440-nucleotide ribosomal RNA is filed under the name uncultured bacterium. Its description in RNAcentral is "partial 16S ribosomal RNA". It matches the Rfam family "Bacterial small subunit ribosomal RNA", at positions 338 to 795 of the family's 1533-position model. The record is from RNAcentral.
CCUACGGGUGGCAGCAGUAGGGAAUUUUGCGCAAUGGGCGAAAGCCUGACGCAGCAACGCCGCGUGAUCGAGACGCCCUUCGGGGUGUAAAGAUCUGUUAGUUGGGACGAAACUUGACGGUACGUACAGAGUCACCACCGGCUACUUCCGUGCCAGCAGCCGCGGUCAUACGGGGGGUGCAAGCGUUGUCCGGAAUCAUUGGGCGUAACGUGUUCGUAGGCGGCACGUCAAGUCUGGUGUUAAAGGCAGAGGCUCAACUUCGGUACGGCACUGGAUACUUGCGGGCUAGAGUGCGGUAGAGGUGAAGGGAAUUCCAGGUGUAGCGGUGAAAUGCUUAGAUAUCAGGAAGAACAUCAGUGGCGUAAGCGCUUUACUGGGCCGUAAUUGACGCUGAGGAACGAAAGCCAGGGUAGCAAAUGGGAUUAGAUACCCUGGUAGUC